Molecule: ribosomal RNA, 244 nt
Filed under: uncultured Bacidina
Lineage: Eukaryota; Fungi; Ascomycota; Lecanoromycetes; Lecanorales; Ramalinaceae
Description: partial small subunit ribosomal RNA
Source: RNAcentral
GACGUUAAAGACUAGUGUUAUUCAUCAUUAGCAGGUUUAAAGGGUACUUAGACGGCAAAUCAAGCCAUAGAAGGGACUAGUUUGCUAGAGUUACUUGUGAAGGGGCUUGAAAGUACUGGUGGUGUAGAGAUAAAAUGCUAAUAUACCUUUUUUCAAUAGAAAAGUAAUGGCACUGGUAAAGGCGAAAGCAUCCCCUUAUGUGAUAACUGACGUUAAAGGACGAAGGCUUUGAGCCGCGAAUAGG